UACGUAGGGUGCGAGCGUUAAUCGGAAUUACUGGGCGUAAAGCGUGCGCAGGCGGUUUUGUAAGUCAGAUGUGAAAGCCCCGGGCUUAACCUGGGAAUGGCAUUUGGGACUGCAAGGCUUGAGUGCGGCAGAGGAGACUGGAAUUCCUGGUGUAGCAGUGAAAUGCGUAGAUAUCAGGAGGAACACCGGUGGCGAAGGCGGCAGCCUGGACCGACACUGACACUGAGGAGCGAAAGCCAGGGGAGCAAACGGG
RNAcentral lists this ribosomal RNA (253 nucleotides) under uncultured bacterium. Its description in RNAcentral is "partial 16S ribosomal RNA". It matches the Rfam family "Bacterial small subunit ribosomal RNA", at positions 524 to 776 of the family's 1533-position model. The record is from RNAcentral.